GACGAACGCUGGCGGCGUGCUUAACACAUGCAAGUCGAACGGAGUGAUUGAGAGCUUGCUCUCGAGAACUUAGUGGCGAACGGGUGAGUAACGCGUAAACAACCUGCCUUUCGGAUGGGGACAACAGUUGGAAACGACUGCUAAUACCGAAUGAGCUUCAUGUACCGCAUGGUGCGAGAAGAAAAGACGGCCUCUCGAAGAAGCUGUUGCCGAAAGAAGGGUUUGCGUCUGAUUAGCUAGUUGGAGAGGUAACGGCUCACCAAGGCAAUGAUCAGUAGCCGGUCGGAGAGGAUGAACGGCCAAACUGGAACUGAGACACGGCCCAGACUCCUACGGGAGGCAGCAGUGGGGAAUAUUGGACAAUGGGGGAAACCCUGAUCCAGCAAUGCCGCGUGUGUGAAGAAGGCCUUCGGGUUGUAAAGCACUUUCAGCGGGGAAGAAAGAACCAAAAUUAAUACUUUUGGGUGUUGACGUUACCCGCAGAAGAAGCACUGGCUAAUUCUGGGCCAGCCGCCGCAGUAA
Molecule: ribosomal RNA, 522 nt
Filed under: uncultured bacterium
Lineage: Bacteria
Description: partial 16S ribosomal RNA
Rfam family: Bacterial small subunit ribosomal RNA
Source: RNAcentral